RNAcentral lists this ribosomal RNA (514 nucleotides) under uncultured bacterium. RNAcentral's name for it is "bacterial SSU rRNA". It matches the Rfam family "Bacterial small subunit ribosomal RNA", at positions 33 to 518 of the family's 1533-position model. The record is from RNAcentral.
ACGCUGGCGGCGUGCCUAAUACAUGCAAGUCGAACGGUCUUUUCUAUGGAAGCUUGCUUCCACUGAGAAGAUAGUGGCGAACGGGUGAGUAACACGUGGGGUAACCUGCCCAUAAGAGGGGGGAUAACAUCCGGAAACGGGUGCUAAUACCGCAUAGUUUUCUUGAUCGCAUGAUCGGGAAGGAAAGACGGCCUUUGUGCUGUCGCUUAUGGAUGGACCCGCGGCGUAUUAGUUAGUUGGUGAGGUAACGGCUCACCAAGACGAUGAUACGUAGCCGACCUGAGAGGGUGAUCGGCCACAUUGGGACUGAGACACGGCCCAAACUCCUACGGGAGGCAGCAGUAGGGAAUCUUCCGCAAUGGACGAAAGUCUGACGGAGCAACGCCGCGUGAGUGAAAGAAGGUUUUCGGAUCGUAAAACUCUGUUGUCAGAGAAGAACAAGUUGGAGAGUAACUGCUCCAGCCUUGACGGUAUCUGACCAGAAAGCCACGGCUAACUACGUGCCAGCCGCCGC